UGGGGAAUUUUGGACAAUGGGCGAAAGCCUGAUCCAGCAAUGCCGCGUGUGUGAAGAAGGCCUUCGGGUUGUAAAGCACUUUUGUCCGGAAAGAAAUCCUUGGCUCUAGUACAGUCGGGGGAUGACGGUACCGGAAGAAUAAGCACCGGCUAACUACGUGCCAGCAGCCGCGGUAAUACGUAGGGUGCAAGCGUUAAUCGGAAUUACUGGGCGUAAAGCGUGCGCAGGCGGUUUGCUAAGACCGAUGUGAAAUCCCCGGGCUCAACCUGGGAACUGCAUUGGUGACUGGCAGGCUAGAGUACGGCAGAGGGGGGUAGAAUUCCACGUGUAGCAGUGAAAUGCGUAGAGAUGUGGAGGAAUACCGAUGGCGAAGGCAGCCCCCUGGGCCAAUACUGACGCUCAUGCACGAAAGCGUGGGGAGCAAAACAGGAUUAGAUACCCUGGUAGUCCACGCCCUAAAACGAUGUCAACUAGUUGUUGGGGGAUUCAUUUCCUUAGUAACGUAGCUAACGCGUGAAGUUGACCGCCUGGGGAGUACGGCCGCAAGGCUAAAACUCAAAGGAAUUGACGGGGUCAUAGCUGUUUCCU
RNAcentral lists this ribosomal RNA (588 nucleotides) under uncultured bacterium. Its description in RNAcentral is "partial 16S ribosomal RNA". It matches the Rfam family "Bacterial small subunit ribosomal RNA", at positions 355 to 1375 of the family's 1533-position model. The record is from RNAcentral.